RNAcentral lists this ribosomal RNA (364 nucleotides) under Rickettsiales bacterium. RNAcentral describes it as "partial 23S ribosomal RNA". It matches the Rfam family "Bacterial large subunit ribosomal RNA", at positions 2591 to 2799 of the family's 2925-position model. Lineage: Bacteria; Pseudomonadati; Pseudomonadota; Alphaproteobacteria; Rickettsiales. The record is from RNAcentral.
AAGAGCUACACGAGCUGGGUUAAAUACGUCGUGAGACAGUAUGGUUUCUAUCUUCUAGAGGAAAUUAGAGUAAAAUAAGGAUAGCCCCUUCGUACGAAAGGAGUUGGGUAUGGUAACCUAUGGUUUACCUGUUGUUUAUACGCUUGAUAUUAAUAUGAUAAAUUGAAAGUGAGAAUAGGUGCUCUUUAAAGAGUAGGAAAGCUACUAAGUAAGGAGAGUAAUAAGAAUGAGAUCUACUCAUUUCCUAUCGGAACUAGAAAAGGUAAUACUUUUAUACUCAAGUAUUUAUGAAAAGUAUAGGCACGGCAGGAAAGCUAUGUUAGUUAAGAUAAGUGCUGAAUGCAUUUAGGCACGAAGCUUACCU